Molecule: long non-coding RNA, 3559 nt
Organism: Gavialis gangeticus (Gharial)
Lineage: Eukaryota; Metazoa; Chordata; Crocodylia; Gavialidae
Exons: 2
Source: RefSeq, a predicted model, not a curated record
AAUCUAUACAGAUGUUGCAGAGCUGAGUUUAAUUUACAUGCUGCAUCUUCCAGUAAAGCAAUUUUGGUUUUUUGCCACAUCUGCCAGCAGCCCUAAUUCAAAGCCAAUGGGUACUGCACUACCAAACAAAUAAGGCAAUUUUUAAUGUCAAAAUAUUCAUUUUAGAGUAGUAUAUUUACAUUCUCUUUGCCCUGAGUGAUCAUAAAAUGGUUUGAAGUUUAAAAUGAUUUUGCCCAGUAGCCAUUUCUGAAAUGAAACAGAUCAAUUAGUCAAUAUAAUACAGCUAAUAUUGGAAGUAUAUGCUGCACAAUAUGGUAAAAUGCCACUUGGAGCUAAAUGCCUUUUACACACUAUUGUUUUUCUCCCUGUUAAGUUCCUGGCUGGGGGCUGACAUUGUAGUGUGCCUGGUGUUCUGAAAAUUGAAGGGGUAAAGGUUUUAUUUACCAGAGAUUUGUGUUGCUGAUUAAUCAUUAAUGUCCAGUUCAAUUCGUUUACAAAAAUAUCAUAGUGCAGGUCAAAAUUUAAAAUAAAAAUCCCAUUUCAUCAUGACAUGGGUGUACGUGUAACAGAGAUGAAUUGUAAAGCAUCGCAAACAGAUUCUACUUUCCAACAUCUUCAGAGAAAGUAAAUUAAUUUUAUGUUGAUGAUAAAUACUCACACUGUAAUAUUUUUGUCUGCCUGAUUUGAUAAGAUCACACGCAGUAUGUAUCAGAGAAACUGAUUCUACUUAGACUGUUAUCAUUUAUUAUCUCUGGAGCAGCAGAUUAUAAAGAGGUGUUGCAAUCUUACUGAAAGCAGACAGUAUUCCAAACCUAAGAUUCAGUCCAAUGUUCACAAAUGCAAGCAGGGAUGGUGUUAUAAAAGGGAAAAGAAUCAGAAAAGAAAGCUGGUAAUAAGAGCCUUACAACCCUGCCGUACUAGGUAUUAGAGCUAAAUUCCUAAUCACCAACUUGGAGGGAAAAGAGGGAGACCUCUAUUCUAUAUCUGUUACUGGGCAAGAGAAAAAAAGCACUGAAUGUGAUGCCUGGGAGUCUGCUACAAAACAAAAAGGAGAUUUAACUGUGAGCUAACAUAUACAUUAUACUCAGGGCAGUCAACCAGAUUCUCCAUUUUAUUUGGUCUCUGACCUUUUAAAAAUCUUUUGGAAAAGUAUCUGUUGCCCAUACAGACACUGACUACAGGUGUACUAGUAAAUUUUUAGCAUGCCUGAAGUCCAGCUGCUUUGCUUGCAAGUUUACCUUACAAAAUGCAUGCCUACAUUUUUUGGGAGGGGUGCAACACAAUUUCUUUCCGUUUCAAAACAAACCAAAUAAAAAUAUGGGGAAUAGAUAUUUUUUUCCUCAAGAAAAGGAUGUGGCUUUCAAAUUCCACUACAAAGAAUUGUCUGUUUUAUCUUAAACUACUAGGAAUUUCUUAAAGCACUGAGGCAUGAUAGUUAUCAAACUGAUUUUUUUAUUGUUCAGGUCUAUACUAUAUGGAUAUUCAUCAAAUGUCAGCUAAACUCCCUUUGUUCUCUGACCGUGCACUAAGCAGUGUGCAAACCCUUAAAAGGAUAUUGUUUUGGAUCCAUCCCUUCUUUGGGAGCUCAAAAAUCUUGGUCAGAAAGAUUAUAAUAGAGCAACAUAGAAAAAUAUUUACAAAUCUGGAGCUGCAUCCUGACACAGUAUAAACUGAUAUAGGACAGCUGAGGUCAAAGGAGCUAUGCUGAUUUACACAAAUUGCUAAUCUGGCCACUGGUUUUUACAGAGAAAGGAAUAUGUUAAGUAUAUAUAUAAAGAAACAUAUUAACUUCUAGUUUUCUAGGCAAUUGAUUAUAUAAGCUACAUCUGUCUGUUCACACCUGUUUAAGGCUGUAACAGUUCUUGUGUACUGUACGGUACUGCGUUAUUCUUUAAACAGUAAAUAUAAACUGUUAUAGAAAAUAGGUUAAAUGAUAGUGUUUUGUAUGUGUUUUAAUCAGUUAUUGCAGUGUUCAAGGUCAAAAUCUACAAUAAACAGCACUCUCACGCUAGGCUAAAAUUGCACAGCUGAUACACGAAUAGAGUGAACUUUCUAGAACAUGUUUUCAUGCAAAUCUGCAAAGCUACUAAAACUUACUUAAGACCACACAGCCUUGGGAUUCACAAAUCACGGGGGAUGCGUUAAACAGUAUCAUUUGGCCUGAGCAAAGUGAAUGUGAGGAGCCCAAUUUUCAAAAUGAAUAUAAAAGUUAUGCCACUUACACCUAUAAUAUCAUUCAAGGCACAGCAAGACCCAGACAUUUUUGGUGUGCAUACACCCAAAGGAGCCAAAAAGUCCAAUUCCAUAUUGGGCCAGGUAUCCAACUAGCAUUCUCCGAAUAACAGAAAUACUGAACGAAGCUUGGCCCAGGAAGUAAGUAAUAUCAAAAGGAUGGAAGUCAGAAAAAAACAUAAUUGACUUUUGCUGAUAUUUGCUUGAGCACAUUUCUUUCUCCAUGGUGACUGGAGGCUUCCAAUAUAUUACCUGAAUUCUGACUAUAAGAACAAGUGUGCUUGCUAUAUUGCUGUCCUGAGACCUCAUUUUUUUUGCACCUGGAUUAGUAUAUUGCUUCAAUACAUGUACAUUGACCAACACUUUGAAACGCAUUCCUCUUUAUUAGAAUAAUCAUGAGAUUAUUCUUAGAUGGUAAAAAAUUAAGGAGGAUAUUAGCAAUAUCACCUGCAUAUGUGAACCUAUUAACUUGCAUGUGAUUUGUCCAAGCGAGUCUACCACUAUUAUCAGUGCUAUUAGAAUGACAUGCACUUUGACGAUAUGAACCAGUUUGGCCUAUUGUGAUUUACUGUUGUUAAGGAGAACUACAGUCAGGAGAGUCAGGAACUUCCCACCUCCAACACAAGUCCUUGACACUGACUUCGUUCUCUGGUCUUCAAAAAGUAAAAACUUUCUACUCCCAGUCUACAGCUCUGAAUGACACUAUUUCCUACUUACAAGGGAAUUAUACAUGUUAAAUAUAUUAAAUAGAUAUGAUUUCAUUUUAUUGUUUACUACUGUGGAGUUCCUUCUUUACUUUACUAUGAGUUCAGAAUUAGGCUCAAUGUACAAAGCAGUGAGGAAUAUUUUUAUUAGUGUUUCUCUAAAGCACAGUUUGGUUUUUUCUCAGACUAUACUGACAUCAGCAAAUUAUGUCAGAUUUAUAGGUGGAUAGAUUCAAUUUAUGGAUUAAAAUAUGAUAAAAUAAUACAUUUAUUAGAUUUACUCAGCAGCAGCAUUUUCCAGUCAUAUUUUCUACUCAACAUACAUUUUGAAAUAAUUGCAACAAGCAUUCUAAAUAGACACAGCAUAUAUUUUAAGAACUCAGGUAUAAAACAAUCAAAUAGCAGAAGUCUCACUGUUUAUAAAUUUAGAAAUCUGCCGUUAUGUGUAGCUAGCCAAGAAUGUAAAAUGACAUAUUAUACAUUUCUGCAGCAGUACUCAGACUUUCCUUAAAUGGUUCAUGUUAUGGAAACUACACUGGCUUAAUAGAAAAGCUAGCAAGAUGCACAGUACAUUCUGAAAGAAAGAUAUGGAAAUAACCAGAUAACUACGAAGACUGCAUCAC